This 497-nucleotide ribosomal RNA is filed under the name uncultured bacterium. RNAcentral describes it as "partial 16S ribosomal RNA". It matches the Rfam family "Bacterial small subunit ribosomal RNA", at positions 28 to 507 of the family's 1533-position model. The record is from RNAcentral.
GAUGAACGCUGGCGGCGUGCCUAAUACAUGCAAGUCGAGCGAACAGACGAGGAGCUUGCUCCUCUGACGUUAGCGGCGGACGGGUGAGUAACACGUGGAUAACCUACCUAUAAGACUGGGAUAACUUCGGGAAACCGGAGCUAAUACCGGAUAAUAUAUUGAACCGCAUGGUUCAAUAGUGAAAGACGGUUUUGCUGUCACUUAUAGAUGGAUCCGCGCCGCAUUAGCUAGUUGGUAAGGUAACGGCUUACCAAGGCAACGAUGCGUAGCCGACCUGAGAGGGUGAUCGGCCACACUGGAACUGAGACACGGUCCAGACUCCUACGGGAGGCAGCAGUAGGGAAUCUUCCGCAAUGGGCGAAAGCCUGACGGAGCAACGCCGCGUGAGUGAUGAAGGUCUUCGGAUCGUAAAACCCUGUUAUUAGGGAAGAACAAAUGUGUAAGUACCUAUGCACGUCUUGACGGUACCUAAUCAGAAAGCCACGGCUAACUACGUG